AGCAUUUUUUACAACGGUUAAAAAAAUCACUACCGGUUGAUAGCUGUUCCAUCUGGCUUUCGUACAACCGACCCGUGAUGGAUAGUCCACAUGAAGACACAGUGUUAGAUGGCAACAAAAUGAAGACGUGACCCAAGAAAACCCAGAGACAGUGCAAGUACUUAAAUGAAUACUCUUAAUUAACUAUUAAAUGAACAAUUUAAAUUGUAGAUUUUCUUAUCUUAAACCAUAGUCUGUCAAGAUAUGAUGGUCUGGAAGCCUGGCAAACUUCAAAGGUACAAAAUAGAAGG
Molecule: non-coding RNA, 290 nt
Organism: Paramuricea clavata
Lineage: Eukaryota; Metazoa; Cnidaria; Anthozoa; Malacalcyonacea; Plexauridae
Source: the annotation of a GenBank genome assembly